AUGUCUAACAAAAUCAUAAAUAAUGUUCUCAGUUUAAUAUCUGAUAUGUGGGCCAUCAGCUCACACGAUAUUAACUCAACUUUUUAAGGGGAAGAGUCCGUUAAGGUAGCUUGCUACCUGGGCUUUUGCACGUCGCCUAUGUGUUGCACUACUGCACGGGCCUGGCUCACCCCAC
RNAcentral lists this small nuclear RNA (175 nucleotides) under Nicotiana attenuata. RNAcentral describes it as "snRNA U2". It matches the Rfam family "U2 spliceosomal RNA". From Rfam's summary of the family: U2 is a small nuclear RNA (snRNA) component of the spliceosome (involved in pre-mRNA splicing). Complementary binding between U2 snRNA (in an area lying towards the 5' end but 3' to hairpin I) and the branchpoint sequence (BPS) of the intron results the bulging out of an unpaired adenosine, on the BPS, which initiates a nucleophilic attack at the intronic 5' splice site, thus starting the first of two transesterification reactions that mediate splicing. Lineage: Eukaryota; Viridiplantae; Streptophyta; Magnoliopsida; Solanales; Solanaceae. The record is from RNAcentral.